This 8609-nucleotide long non-coding RNA is filed under the name Sorghum bicolor (sorghum). RNAcentral's name for it is "long non-coding RNA (SBIC_LNC011851)". The record is from RNAcentral. Lineage: Eukaryota; Viridiplantae; Streptophyta; Magnoliopsida; Poales; Poaceae.
UAUUAUUAUCAUUAUUAUUAUUAUUAUUAUUAUUAUUAUUAUUAUUAUUAUUAUUAUUAUUAUUAUUAUUAUUAUUAUUAUUAUUAUUAUUAUUAUUAUUAUUAUUAUUAUUUUAUUUUAUUUUAUUCAGGGAGGCGGGCAUCUAGUACCCAUUGUUUUAAUUACUGGGACACUUGUCCAUCUUUUACUCCCCUUUUUUUUUCUUUUAUAUUUUUGCAUAGCCACAUGUAUCCUUUGAAUACAAUAAAUGAUCAAAGAGGUAACAGUAAGAACUUAGGGCUUUAAUGAUGGGCUUUAUCCUAUGGGUAUGGUUUAUGUUGGUGUUUACUCCCGGUGUAGGAAUAAUGCAUAUGUGAACUGGAGUGUGUACGUGAUCUUGGUUUUAAAAGCAUGACAAGACUCUCGUAAGGUAUACUACAAAGGUUGACUAAACUCAAUGCAAAGCAAGCAACAUAAAUGUGCAAAAGUUUUCCUAACUCUAAAUGUAUAUUAUAUAUGGCUUUGGUAGGAAUUCAAACUUGUCAUACAAGAGCUCAUCAUGUAAAUUUCAGGUUUUCAAAAUAAAUCUCCAAAACUUAGUAAUGCUAGGAAUAAGAUAAAUAGCAGCUCAGACUUUCAAUGAUCAUAUCAACCAACUACCUAGACUUAGCUCAAACUUAUGACUCCACAAGUUGCAGGUUUAGAGUAAACCUUCAAACUAAAACAGUCAUGUCCAAAACUCGAGAGAAUCUAACAUUGGAAUCUAGGUACUUGUAAAGAAUUAUAAUAGAGCAACUAUUCAUCAUCUCCAAGACAAAAUUUUAAUGUUCAUUAAUUUUUGUUUAGCUCUAGUUUAGACUGACUCUAAACAGACUCUGACACUUAACUUAUUAUAAACUCACAAAAAAGACUCUAUGACCUAUGGACCUUCAUGUGCCCACAUAUUUUUGGUAUUUUUAUGACUAUAUAGACUUAAAAUCACUUAGGUAUAAUUACCUGAUAACUAGGGGAUGCUCCUGCCCCAAGCUGGAUGGUUGCAAUACUUGGUGUAGAUGUCUUUUAGAGUGAGCUAACCAGUAGCGGACUUGGUGGGUGCCACUGAUAGACUCUCUCCUUACUAUGAUGUUAUUCCUACAUAAAUACUGUCCACAAAGAGAAACCAAAACUCGAGGCUCAAAUUUGUUAAUGGGUUAGCGGUCAGCCAAAAAGUAAUUAAUCUCCUUUAUGAGCUAGUUUUAUUGUUGUCUAAUUUAAACAGGAUUUCAAUUUUCUCUUAUUUUUGAAUUUUCUAUUUAUGAUGUAGGAAUUUAAAUAUGAAUGCUAUUUUUAUGGCACCACAGUAAAUAUUCCUAAGGGGUUACCAUAAGUUUAUUCACAUGGGGCUUGGUAUUUAUGAUGUAGUAAUUAAAGCAGUAAAUAUUUGUUUGUAUUUUGUAUUAAUAUGCUAAGAGAAAUAAAUAUGCUACUAGGUGUAUUAAAACAAAAUUACUAAUGCAUGCUAACUUAACUAGAUAACUACCAUUCUGACCUUGUGGCUAGGGUACGGAAUUUCAAGUCUACCAACAGGACUUAGAUAGAAGGGAACACUUACUCAGUGGGUUCAUCGUUUGAGGUAACCUCAGUGUUGACGGUCCUUAAUGCUCACAUUUAACCAUCAACUAAUCAUAGAAAAGGAUCCAAAUGCAACCAACACCUAGACUUAGGGUUUUAUCUGACAGAAUUCCACAAGUUUUGGUGUUUGUCUAUUUCUGCAGGGAGUUAUCAGGAAAUACGGAAGAAAGGCCCACACGUCGGGUUUACAUAGAGAUAUUAACGUGCCGCGCAAUUUUCUAUCAUCUAGAAGACUCCAGAAGCCACAGGACCGAACGGGAGACGUAACGGAGCCGGGCACUGGGCGCCCGCCCUCCCUUACUGGGCGCCCGCCCUCCCCCCUGGACCAAUCAGGGUGAAGUUCGGGGAUCAUGCUCCACCGACCUAAUACUUCAAGGAAAACCACACGAUCAAUGUCGGUUUGAUCCGACGACCCAGAUUCACUUGAAGGGACUAUAAAACCAGACCCCCCUGGCCCCUGGAGAUCAUACCUCUUCUACAGAAUCAAAGUUAGGGUUUCAAUUCUUCAUCCAAGUAGAGAGGAUCCCUCUAAUUCUUCUAGUUCUACCUCUAGUUCAUCUAGAUCUAGUUCUAGUUCAUCUAGUUCUAGUUCUAGUUCCUCUAGUUCUAGUUCUAGUUAGUUCUAGUUGUAAUCUAGAAAAUAGGGAGAGAGAAGAGGAGAGCGGAGGAGGAGCCGGAUCUGUCGGAUCUUCCUCAACAUUAUACUUUUGCAGCAUCUGGUUCGUUCUUCAUCGUUCUCCAGGUUCUUCAAUUCAUAAUCCUGAGUUCUUUAAUUAUUUUUAUUUACAUUCAAGUUAUUUAUUGGAUUCCCGCUUGCAUCAAGUGCUCUAGUCUUUAUAACGCUAGAGUAGUAAUUAAUAGAUUAGACGUGGUGUUUAGUCUUGCGAUUACCUGGAAUUGCACCCAAUCCUGCGGAUUGUUGUGGUAGCCCUAGGGUAGUGACAGCCCUAACGGUCGACGUAUUCCACCACGUUCGGAUCGGUGUUUGUAGGACCGUAGUCAGACCUUCUUAGCCCCCUUCUCAUCUCUUUCUGUGGUUAGUGCUCUGAUGUCCCGAUAUAGAUAAUCUUGAAGUAAUUCUUGAUUCUUAGAUCAACUAGAGAACUCUCAGGAAACUUCCUCUCUUCCCACCAAAAAUAAUUAUAUAGUUAUCCUUGGACGAUCUUGGAUCUUAAUUAGUACACUCACGUUCUCUGUGGAAAAUCGAUACUCUGGAAUACUCCCGGGUGAAGGCUACAUCGGUAUCCGUGCGCUUGCGGAUUUUUUCUGUUUGCGUUUAAAAUACCCAACAAGCUUUCUGGCGCCGUUGCUGGGGAACGGUAGCUGUGCUAGUUUCGAACCAAGUCGUCCGUGUAUCCUUUUUCUUUUCUUUUUUUACCACACUCACCUUACCAUUUUCACCACACCACAUGGAUUUCACUCUAAGUAUUAAUGAGCAUGGAAUUUAUUACAUAGCCACUUCAUUUACUCCAUGCUCAUAUGCAACAUCUUCACAAUCCAUUGGUUUUUCCAACACCACCACAUUCGAGAUCUCCAACCCCCUCAUCCUUUCUAUUUAUAAAAACUUUAAAAGGGCGGUUAUCGAUGCAUAUGUCUAUAAUAAAUUUUGCAGAUCUCGUUGAGUUGAUCUUGAUAUAGGUCAGCGUUGGAGGGGAAACCACUUCACUGACAUAAAUUGAUGGUUUCCCAAGGACAAGCUUAGUGUCCUAAAACAAGCACUGAUUUGAUCAUAACAUGAGCUUUUAAUUAUUUGCCACAUUAACUUGUGUAUUGAGCAUAUAAGGAUAAUUGUACAAAUAUUCCUUCGGGUAUUCUUGUCACUAACCUUUCCAGGUUUGGAGCAAGAAGAUCGGAUGAAUGACAAGCACAAGGUAUAUCCAACCAAUCAUCAUACAGCAUUGAAUUAAAUUCAUCCAAACUUGAAUUCUGCAAAAAUUCAAGCUUGAGGGAGUACUUUACAUAAAAACAUCCUUUGCCAUGUUGCUAUGUUGGUUGUCCCUACCUUUGAGACAUGCUCAAUUUGUUAAAUACUAACCACACUACUUCAUCUCCACUUGAGUAGAUCUCUAUAAAUACUUUCAUGCUACCUUUAUUUGCUUUAGUAUAUGUCUAGGUUUGGAGUGGUUUCGUUUAUCUCUUAAUUAAGCAUGGUGCUUAGUUUAGGAAUGAUGAUCUUACUUCCAAAGGAUUUUAAAUUAAGCAUGAUGCUUAGGUUAAAAUGCCCUCCUAAAUCAAAUUAGACAUGGUGUCUAGGUUGAUCUUUGAGCCGAUAGUAUGCUAUAGUAGAUAUUGGAUAUUUUGUUGGACUAACCCCUGCAGGAAAACUUUCAAUAUCGACGUGGGAAGUCCUGAGAUAAACUCACAUUGGAGACAAAGAGAGAGGCACAUGAAGUUUAACAAUUUACACAAGGAAGGCAUAGCUCACAAGAGAUGAUCCAUGAAGGGUGCCACAAACACGAUGCACAACCACUAAGAAAGGAAAGCUUCCACAAGGUGAUACUGUACCAUCACUCUUCAAGUAAGGUAACAUCUUAAGGUACUUGACUAUCACUUCUAUAAGCUUCUCCUUGGUUCUAGCAUUCACAUGAAUAAAAGAGACAAACAUGUAUGAUUUAUAACUCUAGAUUAACCAACCCAAUCGAUUCAACAUGUUUAGUCCUUUCACCUUUGUGAUCCCACACUCCUAAUCAUAUGAACUAAAAAUGUUGCACACUCAAUCUUUGGAAGAUAUAUAUUAUAUAAAAAACAACAUAACUAUAGAUAGAUUAUCUUUCCAUUAGGUUGAGUGAUCUGAUCUGACAAAUGUUUUAAAUGUUACACUCAUGGUCUUAUUAUCCAUCAACUUUGUCUUGCUCGCUAUGCUUAAGGUUAGAGAGAUCAAAUACACUUUUGGUUAUGUUGGUGUGUUCCACCAACAGGGCCCAUGCACUUGAUCUCUGCCUUGUCUAUGAGCAGGUACACUUCCAGCAAAAUAUGAAGGACUUUUACAACUCCCAGACUACACCAAGUGAAGAACCUAGAUCUACAAGCACACACACACUGAAGAUACUGAACAAUCAGGCAAUCACUGCCCUGAGAUGCUUGAGGACGUAACUACUGGAGUAACCCUGUUGUGGAAGUAAUUACUGACCUUCUGCCGGUCAAGAGAGGCGAUCCAGGACGCCCCGUCAUCCCAAUCUCCAUCGGCAUGGUGGACUUCCUAGAAGCACUCUGCGACUUUGGCUCCAGCGUCAACAUUAUGCCCAGGAUUUCCCAAAGGGAAUGUUGAAGAACCUCUACGUCCGAGUUGGUACCUUGUACGCCCCAGCAGACUUCGUGGUGAUAGAGACUGGUACUGAUGAGAGGGCACCCAUCAUCCUAGGGAGGCCAUUCCUAAACACCUGAGUAACUGUCAUCUAUGCUAGUGCUGCCAAGAUCAGUUUCUACAUCAAGGGGAGGAAGGAGACGUUUUCCUUCAAGAACAAGACUAUACAAAUCUCAGAGCAUUCCCGACAUGAACUAAGGAAGAGGACCAACAGGAGGAACAGGAACAAGAAAGUGUGGACCGAGUCAGCUAAGAUGGCCACUACAGUUCAAGGAGGUCAAGAUCAUCUAUUUAAGUCACCGUUCCUGACCAAAAAGGACGACCUAGGCAUGCCAAGCAUCCAGUGCUCCAUUAAUGGAUACAACUUCCAGAAGACACUCUACGACACCGGGUCAGGCAUCAACAUAAUGGCCGCAGUCACUUAUCAGCUCCUGCAUGGAACCAUGUCCCUACAACCAACAUACAUUCAGCUCCAGAUGAUUUUAAGGUUAUUGACAUGGGAGAAGACAAGUACGAUCCACCCAUCAUCCUUGGAAGACCGUUCCUCAGCACUGUUAAAGCAAUCAUCUACAUUGGAACCGGAGAAGUCCACAUGCACUUCCCCUCUGAGAAGGUACGCUGCUAUUUUACUGACCCUAACUAUAUAGUUGAAGACUCUAAGCAGGUCAGGACAAGAAGAAGACAAUGCAACCGCAACUAGAGGAGGCAAAUUAUCAAGGACGGAUGGACAGACUACGAAGGAGAAGUAGUGAGGUCUGAAGACAUAUAGCUUGAACAGAACUGUCCUGAUGAGACCGUAGCACCGAGUCAGGUGUGGAGAGAGAAGAUAGUUAUACACGAAGAAGAAGCGUCGCCGGAACCACCGACUACGCCAUCCAGCAAAUCCCAGGACAACUGAGAGUCCCGUUCGGAGGACUUGAAAACGCCGAACGCCUUGCCAAGAGGUAAACUUGGUAGUUAUCUUUUUUCCUUUCAAUUAUUUUAAAAUAGUUUGCUUAGUUAAUCAGGUUCACAUCAUCUUAAAAAGAAAAUAAAAAUGUUAAAAAUAGUAAGCCCCAUGUGAGUAUGCUCAUGGCAUAAAACCCAUAAGUACAUCCACUGUGGUGGCGUAAAAAUGAAAUAAGUAUAUUCCUAUCCUAUAAAAAUAAAAUUAUAAAAAUUAAUGAUCCUACUAAAGAGAGUAACAUUUAUUGAGGAGGCUCAACAUGAUAAAGGCUAGAUAUUUAUGCUAACACUUAACUAGUUCCACAAAGCUUUGUUGUCUAUUUGAGCUCCACAGAAUUCAAGGAUCAAAGAAGACUAGCAGACAGAGAACAUCCUAAUCGCUGUCAGGGUGCUGCCAGACAUACCUCCGCCACCUGCUGGCUACAUCAGAAGAAAUUACGUCAAAAUCCAGCUUGGGGGAGAGCACCCCCAUUUAUCCAGCUAAGUAUUCUACUCACGACUAUACUUUACUCAAAUAAUAAAAAGAUGCAUAAUCAUAAAAACCCAAAUAAAGAUUUUGUGCUUAUAUAUAUCUUUGCUUAGUUUGCUAAAUAAAUAAAUAAAUAAAAUUUGCUAUGAACCCGCAUGAUAAGCUCUCAUAUGGAAAUGAUGAAUAGUUGCUCUGCCAUGACUAGUUCUCAAAAUUGAAAUCUCUCUCAAGUUUAGGCAUGACUAUUAUUAGUUAAGAUUUGCUCUAAACCUAAACUUGUGGGAAGAGUACUUGAUCUAAAGUCUAAGUCGUUAACGGAUAUGAUAUGGGAAGGUUGAGCUGCUGUUUAUCUGUUCCUAGAGAUACUAGAAUUCUGGAGAAUUUUAUCUUUGAAAAUCUUUAAAAUGUUGCAUGAUGAGUUCCUGUAUGAUGAGAGUUUAAAUUCCUACCACAACCAUAUAUACAUGCUUAUUAGACUAUGAACCACACAUUUACUUUUUACUACUUAUGAGCAUUGAGUGUGGUCAAGCUGUGUAGACCCUUAGGAGCUUGUCAUGUGGUUAAAAUCAAGAUUCACUUGCACGUUCACUCAUACAUGCUACUUCUACUUCAGAAGUACGCAUCCACAUAUAUCCAUCCACUUGCAUCUCCAGAACCACCCAAAAAUAUUCUACUCCUAAUCCGGGAGAGAAUAGCCAAAAACAUUCUCCUAUUUCUGUUUUCCCCUGUGAAAUAAAUGCUCAAGUUAUCUUAGUUACUACCACUUGCUAUAUUAUUUCAGGAGAUGAGUGCUCUAAAAAAAAGAAAAAAAAGAAAGAGAGAAAAAAAAAGAGAUACGAGGAAAUAAAAAGGGGCAAGUGCCCGGAACCUCGAAAGAAAAAAAAAGUGAGACGAGAGGUAAAAAUGGACAAGUGUCCGACAGUAGAAUUAGGGGUACAAGAUACCCACCUGAGAGAAAAGAAAAAUAAAAUAUAGAGCAUCUCAUUCUCCUCAAAAAGUUUCAAAAGAGCAAGAAAGGUAUGUAUCCGCUCAAAAGAGCAAAAGUAGAAUUAAACUUUCACCAUUGUUAUCACCAUCAUUACCAUGCACCAUUCAUUCGCCACACAUGCACAUCUUGAUUUGACUUAUUGACUUGUUCUUCUGGAUCCAUGGUUUGACUAUGCAAUAAAUGUCUUGUAAGUAUGUAUUAGCUGUCUCCCACCUAUGAGCUCCAGAUAUCAAAACCUUAUUAGAGUAGGGUGAGAGAGAAGGCAAUGCCACUAUGCCUUAUACCACAAAUACCACAUACUUUGAGAGAAGGCAUAUACCAUUACUGCCUUGGUAAGGAUCCAGAAAUACCACAAAUGAGAGACUAGAGAGAGUCAUACAAGGAAUCUCUGAGUUUUAUUUGAAAAUCUGCAAAAACCCCAGAGCUAUAGCUGAUCAAGAAUAAGAGACAUGGCACUUGACUAGACUGUUCUAUUUUUUAACUACUCAAGACAGAAGUGACGGUUGCAAGCCCCAUGGUGAAGGUAAAAUGAGUAAGUUUAAUUCUUAACAGUUUACCCUAACUCAGAGAUGAGAUCUUGUUUGAACUCAUGUGUACAUUUAAGGCAUGAAACCACUGCAGAAACUCUUGAGUUCAUCUUUGCUCAGGGACGAGCAAAGGUUAAGCUUGGGGGAGCUUGUUGACGGUCCUUAAUGCUCACAUUUAACCAUCAACUAAUCAUAGAAAAGGAUCCAAAUGCAACCAACACCUAGACUUAGGGUUUUAUUUGACAGAAUUUCACAAGUUUGGUGUUUGUCUAUUUCUGCAGGGAGUUAUCAGGAAAUACGGAAGAAAGGCCCACACGUCGGGUUUACAUAGAGAUAUUAACGUGCCGCGCAAUUUUCUAUCAUCUAGAAGACUCCAGAAGCCACAGGACCGAACGGGAGACGUAACGGAGCCGGGCACUGGGCGCCCGUCCUCCCUUACUGGGCGCCCGCCCUCCCCCCUGGACCAAUCAGGGUGAAGUUCGGGGAUCAUGCUCCACCGACCUAAUACUUCAAGGAAAACCACACGAUCAAUGUCGGUUUGAUCCGACGGCCCAGAUUCACUUGAAGGGACUAUAAAACCAGACCCCCCUGGCCCCUGGAGAUUAUACCUCUUCUACAGAAUCAAAGUUAGGGUUUCAAUUCUUCAUCCAAGUAGAGAGGAUCCCUCUAGUUCUUCUAGUUCUACCUCUAGUUCAUCUAGAUCUAGUUCUAGUUCAUCUAGUUCUAGUUCUAGUUCCUCUAUUUCUAGUUCUAGUUAGUUCUAGUUGUAAUCUAGAAAAUAGGGAG